GUCUUAUUGAAUUUAAUUUUAAGUCUAACCUGCUCAAUGAAUAAUUUAAAUGGCUGCAGUAACAAUAACUGUACUAAGGUAGCAUAAUCAUUAGAUUUCUAAUUAAAAUCUUGUAUGAAAGGUUGAAUGAAAUAUAAACUGUCUCAAAUAAAUUUAUUAAAUUUAUUUUUUAAGUAAAAAAACUUAAAUAAAAUUAAAAGACAAGAAGACCCUAUAGAAUUUUACAUUAAAUUUAUUAUUUAAAAUAAAUAAAAUACUAUUUAAUUAAAUUUAAUAUUUAAUUGGGGCAAUUUUUAAAUUUAAUAAACUUUAAAAUACUACUAACAAUUAUAAUUGAACUAAUUUAUAUUCUUAUAAUAUAAUAUAAUAAAAUUAAUUACCUUAGGGAUAACAGCAUAAUUUUUUUUUUUAGACCUAAUAACUAAAAAAGAUUAUGACCUCGAUGUUGAAUUAAGAAAAAAUUAAAUAGAAAAAAAUUUAAAAUUUAAGUCUGUUCGACUUUUAAAAUCUUACAU
Molecule: ribosomal RNA, 515 nt
Filed under: Microctonus hyperodae
Lineage: Eukaryota; Metazoa; Arthropoda; Insecta; Hymenoptera; Braconidae
Description: partial 16S large subunit ribosomal RNA
Source: RNAcentral